GGGUUUUGGUUUGAGUAGAGUGGUGGAUGGGUGAGUAAUGUGUGGGAAUUUACCUCGAUGUGGGGGAUAACCCGGGGAAAUUUGGGUUAAUACCGCAUAUGAUUUAGGGGUGAAAGGGGGUUUUGGUUUUUGUGGUGAGAUGAGUUUAUGUCCGAUUAGUUAGUUGGUGAGAUAAAGGUUUAUUAAGGUGAUGAUUGGUAGUUGGUUUGAGAGGAUGAUUAGUCAUAUUGGGAUUGAGAUAUGGUUUAGAUUUCUAUGAGAGGUAGUAGUGGGGAAUAUUGGAUAUGGGCGUAAGCCUGAUCCAGCAAUGCCGCGUGUGUGAAGAAGGCCUGCGGGUUGUAAAGCACUUUCAGUGGGGAAGAAAGCCACGGGGUUAAUAUCCCCGUGGGUUGACGUUACCCACAGAAGAAGCACCGGUUAACUCCGUGCCAGUAGUUGUGGUAAUAUGGAGGGUGCAAGCGUUAAUCGGAAUCACUGGGCGUAAAGCGCACGUAGGCGGCAACGUAAGUCAGAUGUGAAAGCCCUGGGUUUAAUUUGGGAAUGGCAUUUGAGACUGCGUCGCUCGAGUCUGAGAGAGGGGGGUGGAAUUUUAGGUGUAGUGGUGAAAUGUGUAGAGAUUUGGAGGAAUAUUAGUGGUGAAGGUGGUUCCCUGGUUCAAGACUGACGCUGAGGUGCGAAAGCGUGGGGAGUAAACAGGAUUAGAUAUCCUGGUAGUUUAUGCUGUAAACGAUGUCGACCAGCCGUGGGGUCCAUUUAAGGGUUUCGUGGUGUAGUUAAUGUGAUAAGUCGACCGCCUGGGGAGUACGGCCGCAAGGUUAAAACUCAAAGGAAUUGAUGGGGGUUUGUAUAAGUGGUGGAGUAUGUGGUUUAAUUUGAUGCAAUGUGAAGAAUUUUACCAGCCCUUGAUAUUUAGGGAACCUCAGGAGAUUGAGGGUGUUGUAAGGAACCCUAAGAUAGGUGUUGUAUGGCUGUCGUCAGCUCGUGUUGUGAGAUGUUGGGUUAAGUUUUGUAAUGAGUGUAACCCUUGCCCUUAGUUGCCAGUGUGUGAUGGUGGGAAUUUUAAGGGGACUGCCGGUGAUAAACCGGAGGAAGGUGGGGAUGACGUCAAGUCAUCAUGGCCCUUAUGGGCUGGGUUAUAUACGUGCUACAAUGGCCGGUAUAGAGGGUUGUUAAUUUGUGAGGGGGAGUUAAUUUUAGAAAACCGGUCGUAGUUCGGAUUGCAGUCUGUAAUUUGACUGCAUGAAGUUGGAAUUGUUAGUAAUUGUGAAUUAGUAUGUUGUGGUGAAUAUGUU
This 1292-nucleotide ribosomal RNA is filed under the name metagenome. RNAcentral's name for it is "bacterial SSU rRNA". It matches the Rfam family "Bacterial small subunit ribosomal RNA", at positions 75 to 1372 of the family's 1533-position model. The record is from RNAcentral.